UGCUACAAUGGUCGAUACAAAGAGGUGCGAUACCGUGAGGUGGAGCGAAUCUCAUAAAGUCGAUCUAAGUCCGGAUUGAAGGCUGAAACUCGCCUUCAUGAAGUCGGAGUCGCUAGUAAUCGUGGAUCAGCACGCCACGGUGAAUACGUUCCCGGGCCUU
This 160-nucleotide ribosomal RNA is filed under the name uncultured Bdellovibrionales bacterium. RNAcentral's name for it is "partial 16S ribosomal RNA". It matches the Rfam family "Bacterial small subunit ribosomal RNA", at positions 1223 to 1382 of the family's 1533-position model. Lineage: Bacteria; Pseudomonadati; Bdellovibrionota; Bdellovibrionia; Bdellovibrionales. The record is from RNAcentral.